CAUUGGAGAAAGUAAAGAGGUCCAGCGGUGACGGUGGCGCCUGAUUUGAGCUGUGUGUUUUGAGAGAGUGAGAGCGAGAGAGAGACACUGAGAAACAGAGUUCACUGAGGCACAGCAGGCACUUGGUGGUUGUUUAAUGGGUAAUUUAAUAUUUGAUUAACGUUUGAAUUAAAUAAUAGGAAGGCUGCUUUUUGUUU
Molecule: long non-coding RNA, 197 nt
Organism: Pistacia vera
Lineage: Eukaryota; Viridiplantae; Streptophyta; Magnoliopsida; Sapindales; Anacardiaceae
Exons: 2
Source: RefSeq, a predicted model, not a curated record